UGAGGAAUAUUGGUCAAUGGCCGGGAGGCUGAACCAGCCAAGUCGCGUGAGGGAUGACGGCCCUACGGGUUGUAAACCUCUUUUUGUCGGGGGAGCAAAGGGACUUCACGUGUGAAGUUUCGAGAGUACCCGAAGAAAAAGCAUCGGCUAACUCCGUGCCAGCAGCCGCGGUAAUACGGAGGAUGCGAGCGUUAUCCGGAUUUAUUGGGUUUAAAGGGUGCGCAGGCGGAGUGUCAAGUCAGCGGUAAAAUUUCGGGGGCUCAACCCCGGCGAGCCGUUGAAACUGACGCCCUUGAGUGCGCGAGAAGUAUGCGGAAUGCGUGGUGUAGCGGUGAAAUGCAUAGAUAUCACGCAGAACUCCGAUUGCGAAGGCAGCAUACCGGCGCGCAACUGACGCUCAUGCACGAAAGCGUGGGUAUCGAACAGGAUUAGAUACC
RNAcentral lists this ribosomal RNA (437 nucleotides) under uncultured bacterium. RNAcentral describes it as "bacterial SSU rRNA". It matches the Rfam family "Bacterial small subunit ribosomal RNA", at positions 355 to 786 of the family's 1533-position model. The record is from RNAcentral.